Ornithodoros turicata is the source of this 323-nucleotide long non-coding RNA. RefSeq lists it as uncharacterized. The transcript has 3 exons. Lineage: Eukaryota; Metazoa; Arthropoda; Arachnida; Ixodida; Argasidae. The record is from RefSeq and is a predicted model, not a curated record.
UGAAAGCUUCUACAAGAUAGUUGAGCCGGACAUGAACCACCUUCACUUCUGGCAAAUGAGAUGAGCUGCAGCGAGUGAAGAUGAAGGCGAAAGGAAAUUCAUUGUUCCACUGAAGGAUCAGCUCAUCAUGACAUUAGUACGUCUGCGCCAUGGCCUAGACGGUGCGGACCUUGCUCGCAGGUAUGAAGUCUCAGAAGCCACGGUCUCACGAAUAUGGACUACUUGGAUAGACUUCCUCUACAACAGGUUAAUACAGAUCCCUAUAUGGAUGUCCUCAGACCUCUGUGACAAGUACCGCCCAGCAGUGUUUCAAGAGAAGGGCU